Musa acuminata AAA Group (dessert banana) is the source of this 3925-nucleotide long non-coding RNA. RefSeq lists it as uncharacterized. The record is from RefSeq and is a predicted model, not a curated record. Lineage: Eukaryota; Viridiplantae; Streptophyta; Magnoliopsida; Zingiberales; Musaceae. The transcript has 3 exons.
UUACACAAGUGGCAAAUGGUGCAUGUUUUGUCAGGCAAAAAAGCCUCGCCAAACAUGGAUGGAACUGGGGACAUGGGUGUCAGAAAAAGGUUCCCAAGAAAGUUCAUCGAUUGGCACUUGUCGGAGAGUUGAUGCCUUCACCACUUUGGACAGCGUAUCCUGCAAUGCGUUCUUUUCCCAAUGAUAAUGCCAUGUUCUUCAUCUACAGCUGCGUUUCCAUGGUGGGCUUGGCUGGGGACAAAAGCAAUGGAGAUCUAUGAUCGUGUCAUGUCGCAGAAGAAGAAGCCCAAGCAGUGCGUGCUUGAGACAAUCAAUCGAACAAAUGAGAGGUGAUUUGCGUCCCGUCCCAAAUCGCAGAUCCAUGAAGUGACACGCGAAGCAGGGAGAUAUGGUGACAACGGUGGAGGAUCACGCUAGCCUCCUCUCCUCGGCCAAUCAUCGGCGCCUACUCCAAAUGCGCGAGGUGGAUACGCACCCGUAAGGUGUUCGAUGCAAUGCCUCACAGAAACGUCGUCUCUUGGGAUGAACUCGUUGAAGGGGGAACCAAGACCACCACGAUAUCUACAGAGCGCCCAUCUUUCUCUCGACCUCUAAGGAGGACUUCUUUACCACAGUUACACAAAGGGCUUAUCCGUACGCUCCUCAGUCGCUUACCUGACUCCUUCCGUCAAUCACUUGACCUCAGUAAGUUGGCACCUCAUCUAUGCAGGCCCAUAAAAUAACUUAUGCCAUCCAUUUUAAAGCCUUUAACUCUUAUCAUUGUACGAAUCAUUGUACAAAAGGUAUUAUGACCAGUUCAGUUCGGAUUAAAUUGUCCGACCACCUCGGCUCGCAUCGAUGCAGCCCAAUCGGCUCAGGUCAAGCCGAAUUGCUCGAGUAGCCCAACUUUGGCUCACAUGGGCCCAUCUUGGCCCAAGUCUACCAUGCCUUCUUUCUUUAAGAAAGGAAAAGGCUUUUGUACCUCCUAAGGUUUAAAUCUAAAAUCUUUUACCACCACAUUACUUCAUCACUUUUGUUUAAGAAUACAAUAUAAAUGUACAUGGUUAUAUUGAUGCAUCCGACAACCCCAUGGCAUUUAAUUUGCAUGAGACGCAUCCCCUUUGUACAUGAUGCUCCUACCCAAGACAAAAUGCCAUCCAAGGUAUCCAAUGUGACAAAUGUGUCCACCUUGUGCAUUAUUUAUUUACUUAAGACAAAUACAUGAUGCAACCCAAGGUACUCCCUUUGUGCAUGUUGUAUCCACCAAGUAUAGAAACAUUUGAGGCACUUGACUCAUCGUAAAGUGUUUCUUUGUACAUGAUGCAUCCACCUAAGACAGCAUUCCAAGUACAUGACACAUCCUGAAGCUUUGGAAAAGAAACUAACCGAAAUACAAGUACACAUUCUUAAAUUUAAAUGAUAGUCGUUGACCGUAACAAUCAGAAACAUCGUUUUUGUUACAAUCCAUCUCACUAAGUUAUGGCAUCAUAUAGAGCUCCUUAUGCCAUGCUUGCUCAAAGCAUGUUCUUUUGCCUGGAGUUGUCUUUCAUGCAUGCAUAUUUGAGUGCAUAUAUGUGGCAAUAUCUCUACCAUACAACUAUUCUUUCCCUUCGAAAGCAGUUCUUUGCUAUCCUUUAUUCUUAGCACUUCAACUUGCUAUUACACUUUGCUAGUGAAGCAAGAAAGCACUCCUAGUUGACCAUCUAAAGUUGUUAAACUUUCUUGGUCUCCUGAUAAUGCAGUAUAAAGAAAUCAUCAUACCAAUAUGUGGCUUCUAUUCUAUUGUCAAGCUAAUCUUUCAUCCCUGAGCAUUGUGAAAAAGUAGUAGUAUAGGCUACUUCAGAAGUUAAUUCAGUGUCACACUUUUAUAGCAAUGUUUACAAUUCUUGAAGAGCUUUGUGGUUGUCAUUCUGCAUCUAAAGUUUUGGUUAUAACCCACCAAGGUGCUCUGUGUUCUUGUAUAGCAUGACAAAAUGCUCAAUGAGAAGUGAUAUCUUGUUAUUGUUCAGUUCAAAUUUCUCUUUUUUUUAAAAAAAAUUCAAGUUAAAACAUCAAAUAUUCAUGGAACAUCAUAUGAUCAUUCAUUUCAUCUUCUCUUCUUUCAGUUUGAUUGCGUUACUUGUUAAAGAAUUUUCCAUAAUCAUGUCUUCCCUGGUACAAGUUGGACAAAUCACAUAGCUUGCAGAGGGAAUAGAUUUUAGGUGACAAGUUGAGUAUCACUUGAUUAGCUUUCAAGCAAUUUGAGAGGUCAGCAAGCUAUUUGUGAUUUCAUUUAUUUCAUGGCAGGAAGCUUCUACAGAAAUAAAGGAACAGCAGGUAAAUAGGUUAGUGGAACCCAGAUGGAUUAGUUGUCAUAUAUAAAGCAUGCUUAGUGGCCAAAGGGUUUCAUCAACGAUCAUGUGUUCACUUCAUAGAGAUAUUUAGUCUAGUUGUUAAACCAACAACAAUCUAACUUUUCUUGAGUUUGGCUAUUAUAAAAUAAUAGCACAUACGACAAUUGGAUGUUAAUAAUGCUUUCUUAUAAGGUAUCCUCACUAAAGAUGUUUUUAUAUAGCAACCUCCUAGUUUUAUCCAUCUUCAAUAUCCAAGGUAUAUUUGUAAACUAUAAAAAAUUAUUUAUGGACUUUAUCAAGCUCCAAGCUUGGUAUACUGAACUUGUUUUUGGCAUCAAGUGGCUUCAGCAACUCUAAGUCUAACAUUUCCUUAUUUUUACGACAACAAAAUGGAAGUACAAUAUAUCUGCACAUGUGGAUGACAUUAUCGUUAUAAGAAAUAAUCCUAUAGAGAUCAAGGAAUUCCUCAAGCAGUUGACAGAUUGAUUCUCCAUCAAGGAUCUAAGAAUAUUAAACUACUUUCUGAUAGUGGAAGAAAUAUACACAUCUUCAGGACUCUUUCUAUCUCAAAGGAAGUAUAUUCAAGAUUUAUUAUCUAAGACAAAUAUGCAGAAUGCUAAAUAGGUUGUCACUCCACUCUCUACUACUGAAUCGCUCAAAUUAUAUGAUGACAACCCUACUAUGAAUCAUACAAAAUACUGAUAAGUACUUUGCUCCUUACGGUACUUAUCUUUAUGCAUCGACCCUCCACUACACAUUGGUCUACAGUAAAACGAGUCCUGCGAUAUCUCAAAGGGACUUUCAAUCUUGGACUUAUCCUUCCUAUAUACUCUUACUUUAUUUUUAUGCCUUUAUCGAUAGUGAUUGGAUAAGAAACAUUGAUGAUAGAACAUCUACGUCAGGUUAUAUUAUCUUCCUUGAUGCAAAUUCAAUCAGUUAGAAUUCUAGGAUAUAGAAGACAAUCAUAAGGUCCACAACCGAAGUUGAAUAUUGAGUCAUAGCCACCACUAUUGCAGAACUCAACUAAGUCACCAAUAUGCUAUAGGAACUUGAUGUGAACUCUACAUUUACUCAUACAAUAUAUUGUGAUAAUGUCGGUGUCACCUGUCAAUCCAGUGUUUCACUCACGCAUGGAACACAUUGUUAUCGACUUCCACUUCAUCAAAGACCAAGUUAUCAAAUAUCAACUACGUGUUUCUCACGUAUAUAUUGCUGAUCAACUAGUAGACUCUCUCAUAAAGCCUCUUGCCCGUAAAAUAUUUUCAUUAUAUCGAUCUAAGAUUGGGAUCCUAGACAGGAGUUCAAUCUUGCAAGGGCAUAAUAGAAGAUUAGGAUCAUGAUAAAUUUAGAGUAACUAACUGAUCUUCAUAAGAUAACAAUAGAGAAAAUUUCUCUCUCAUAACUCCCUCUAAAUUUAUAUAAAUAUUGUCUAAAUUAGCAUAUCUUCAUAAGAUGAGAUAUACUAACUUCUUGGCAUCUUAUUUUAUCAGUUGCUUGUUUGUAUCCAAAGUGUUGAGGUGCUUUUUCCAGCUAUAAGAAAUGCAGGGAUUGAUACAAAGCAGAGAGAUAUGCAAGAAUCCUGGAUUAUGAUGGUUUACUGGAGUAAAAUCUGG